RNAcentral lists this signal recognition particle RNA (266 nucleotides) under Candidatus Hydrogenedentota bacterium. RNAcentral's name for it is "Candidatus Hydrogenedentes bacterium (sediment metagenome) signal recognition particle sRNA large type". It matches the Rfam family "Bacterial large signal recognition particle RNA". Rfam says of the family: The signal recognition particle (SRP) is a universally conserved ribonucleoprotein involved in the co-translational targeting of proteins to membranes. Archaeal SRP consists of a 7S RNA and homologues of the eukaryotic SRP19 and SRP54 proteins. The record is from RNAcentral. Lineage: Bacteria; Pseudomonadati; Candidatus Hydrogenedentota.
UCGUGCUAGACGGGGAGCUAGCGGUGCCCUUUACCCGCAAUCCGCUACAGCGGGGUUGAACUCCUGCCCGCGGUCUGGCCGUUUGGGGAUAGUGUCUCGUUAAGCGGUGUUGAUAGUUGGGCCCUGCGCAAUGCACGGCGUGUGAACCCCGUCAGGUCCGGAAGGAAGCAGCGGUAAGCGCGAACGUCCAUGUGCCGCAGUGUGAUCCGGCUGGAGCCGACUGGCGGGAUAACCCUCGGGCGGUCUUAUCAGAGGCAGGUGCACGA